AUAAUAAAGAUUUAUCGGUAUAAGAUGGGCAUGCGUAUCAUUAGCUAGUUGGUGUGGUAACGGCAUACCAAGGCGACGAUGAUUAGGGGUCCUGAGAGGGAGAUCCCCCACACUGGUACUGAGACACGGACCAGACUCCUACGGGAGGCAGCAGUGAGGAAUAUUGGUCAAUGGAGGCAACUCUGAACCAGCCAUGCCGCGUGCAGGAUGACGGUCCUAUGGAUUGUAAACUGCUUUUGUACAGGAAGAAACCUCUCUACGUGUAGGGACUUGACGGUACUGUAAGAAUAAGGAUCGGCUAACUCCGUGCCAGCAGCCGCGGUAAUACGGAGGAUCCAAGCGUUAUCCGGAUUUAUUGGGUUUAAAGGGAGCGUAGGUGGAAGCCUAAGUCAGUUGUGAAAGUUUGCGGCUCAACCGUAAAAUUGCAGUUGAUACUGGGUUUCUUGAGUACAGUAGAGGUGGGCGGAAUUCGUGGUGUAGCGGUGAAAUGCUUAGAUAUCACGAAGAACUCCAAUUGCGAAGGCAGCUCACUAGACUGCAACUGACACUGAUGCUCGAAAGUGUGGGUAUCAAACAGGAUUAGAUACCCUGGUAGUCCACACAGUAAACGAUGAAUACUCGCUGUUUGCGAUAUAC
Molecule: ribosomal RNA, 636 nt
Filed under: uncultured bacterium
Lineage: Bacteria
Description: bacterial SSU rRNA
Rfam family: Bacterial small subunit ribosomal RNA
Source: RNAcentral